RNAcentral lists this ribosomal RNA (405 nucleotides) under uncultured bacterium. Its description in RNAcentral is "partial 16S ribosomal RNA". It matches the Rfam family "Bacterial small subunit ribosomal RNA", at positions 30 to 525 of the family's 1533-position model. The record is from RNAcentral.
AUUGAACGCUGGCGGCAGGCCUAACACAUGCAAGUCGAGCGAGCGGCGGACGGGUGAGUAAUGUCUGGGAAACUGCCUGAUGGAGAGGGAUAACUACUGGAAACGGUAGCUAAUACCGCAUACCAUCAGAUGUGCCCAGAUGGGAUUAGCUAGUAGGUGGGGUAAUGGCUCACCUAGGCGACGAUCCCUAGCUGGUCUGAGGGGAUGACCAGCCAAACUGGAACUGAGGAACGGUCCAGACUCGUACGGUGGGCAGCAGUGGGGAAUAUGGCACAAGGGGCGAAAGCCUGAUGCAGCCAUGCCGCGUGUAUGAAGAAGGCCUUCGGGUUGUAAAGUACUUUCAGCGAGGAGGCGUUACUCGCAGAAGAAGCACCGGCUAACUCCGUGCCAGCAGCCGCGGUAAUA